Molecule: ribosomal RNA, 145 nt
Filed under: Spirochaetota bacterium
Lineage: Bacteria; Pseudomonadati; Spirochaetota
Description: Spirochaetes bacterium (wastewater metagenome) partial 23S ribosomal RNA
Rfam family: Bacterial large subunit ribosomal RNA
Source: RNAcentral
CGGGAAGCCAACCCUAAGAUUAGAUUUCCCCUGACCCUUGAGGUCACUGAAGACUCCUCGAAGAUUACGAGGUUGAUAGGCUGGAGGUGUAAGCGCAGUAAUGUGCUCAGCUAACCAGUACUAAUCGGUCGUGAGGCUUGACCAU